UCCCCGGCGAUGCUGGUGCUCGGGGUUGCGGCCUGCCUCUUUCUUGGCGCGCUGGUGUACGCACUCGCGUCUGUACGGGCGCAGCGGCAGAGGCUGCAAAGGCAGCAAGCACGACCACCAGCAGAGACCAGC
Molecule: non-coding RNA, 132 nt
Filed under: Prymnesium polylepis
Lineage: Eukaryota; Haptophyta; Prymnesiales; Prymnesiaceae
Source: RNAcentral